GCUAUUAGGGAUUGAUAGCGUUCUCUGUGUAAGUGUGUAUACAGAGAUAGCUGUCAGUCACUGAUAGCUGUACAUGGGGGAGGUGUUAUCAGUCACUGAUAGCAUUCUCUGUGUAAGUGUGUAUACAGAGAUAGCUGUCACAUUACAGGGAGGUGUUAUCAGUGAUUGAUAGCAUUCUCUGUG
Long non-coding RNA from Bufo bufo (common toad), 183 nucleotides. RefSeq lists it as uncharacterized. The transcript has 3 exons. The record is from RefSeq and is a predicted model, not a curated record. NCBI's taxonomy places the organism in Eukaryota, Metazoa, Chordata, Amphibia, Anura, Bufonidae.